This 874-nucleotide ribosomal RNA is filed under the name uncultured bacterium. Its description in RNAcentral is "bacterial SSU rRNA". It matches the Rfam family "Bacterial small subunit ribosomal RNA", at positions 28 to 896 of the family's 1533-position model. The record is from RNAcentral.
AUUGAACGCUGGCGGCAUGCCUUACACAUGCAAGUCGAACGGCAGCACGGGAGCAAUCCUGGUGGCGAGUGGCGAACGGGUGAGUAAUAUAUCGGAACGUGCCCAGUCGUGGGGGAUAACGUAGCGAAAGCUACGCUAAUACCGCAUACGAUCUACGGAUGAAAGCGGGGGACUCGCAAGAGCCUCGCGCGAUUGGAGCGGCCGAUAUCAGAUUAGGUUGUUGGUGAGGUAAAAGCUCACCAAGCCUGCGAUCUGUAGCUGGUCUGAGAGGACGACCAGCCACACUGGAACUGAGACACGGUCCAGACUCCUACGGGAGGCAGCAGUGGGGAAUUUUGGACAAUGGACGCAAGUCUGAUCCAGCAAUGCCGCGUGCAGGACGAAGGCCUUCGGGUUGUAAACUGCUUUUGUACGGAACGAAACGGUCUGCUUUAAUACAGUGGGCUAAUGACGGUACCGUAAGAAUAAGCACCGGCUAACUACGUGCCAGCAGCCGCGGUAAUACGUAGGGUGCGAGCGUUAAUCGGAAUUACUGGGCGUAAAGCGUGCGCAGGCGGUUAUAUAAGUCAGAUGUGAAAUCCCCGGGCUCAACCUGGGACCUGCAUUUGAGACUGUAUAGCUAGAGUACGGUAGAGGGGGAUGGAAUUCCGCGUGUAGCAGUGAAAUGCGUAGAUAUGCGGAGGAACACCGAUGGCGAAGGCAAUCCCCUGGACCUGUACUGACGCUCAUGCACGAAAGCGUGGGGAGCAAACAGGAUUAGAUACCCUGGUAGUCCACGCCCUAAACGAUGUCAACUGGUUGUUGGGUCUUCACUGACUCAGUAACGAAGCUAACGCGUGAAGUUGACCGCCUGGGGAGUACGGCCGCAAGGUUG